GUGCAGCAGGCGCGAAAACUUCACACUGUGCGAAAGCACGAUGAGGGAAUCCCAAGUGCUUGCACGUAAGUGUAAGCUGUUUCUCUGUUUAAAACGCAGAGAGAGUAAGGGCUGGGGUAAGACGGGUGCCAGCCGCCGCGGUAAUACCUGCAGCUCAAGGUGGUGACCGUUAUUAUUGGGCCUAAAACGUCCGUAGCCGGUUUAAUAAAUGCCUGGGUAAAUCGUGUAGCUUAACUAUACGAAUUCCGGGUAGACUGUUAAACUCGAGACCGGGAGAAGUUAGAGGUACUCCUGGGGUAGAGGUGAAAUUCUGUAAUCCUAGGGGGACCGACCAGUGGUGAAGGCGUCUAACUAGAACGGGUCUGACGGUGAGGGACGAAGCCCCUGGGGGCGCAAACGGGGAUUAGAGUACCCCUGUAGU
RNAcentral lists this ribosomal RNA (421 nucleotides) under uncultured microorganism. RNAcentral describes it as "bacterial SSU rRNA". It matches the Rfam family "Archaeal small subunit ribosomal RNA", at positions 330 to 745 of the family's 1478-position model. The record is from RNAcentral.